GCCAUAGCUCAGGGGCAGAGCUUAUGCUUUGUUUACAGAAGGUCCCAGGUUCAAUCCCUGGUAUCUCAAGGCA
Non-coding RNA from Podarcis lilfordi (Lilford's wall lizard), 73 nucleotides. NCBI's taxonomy places the organism in Eukaryota, Metazoa, Chordata, Lepidosauria, Squamata, Lacertidae. The record is from the annotation of a GenBank genome assembly.